This is a non-coding RNA of Camelina sativa (false flax), 2526 nucleotides long. Lineage: Eukaryota; Viridiplantae; Streptophyta; Magnoliopsida; Brassicales; Brassicaceae. The record is from RefSeq and is a predicted model, not a curated record.
GUUUCAAAGUAACUCUAUAAUAGUGAUAAAAAAAAAUCAUUUCUUCAGUUGUUCAAACUAUACAUCAUUUAGUGUAGUAAUUGUCAAGCCUAAACACUUCGUUGACCUAUGGAGAAGAUUCUGAAGCAGUUCUCUGACAUGCUUUUUCGUUAUCUUCCCUUUCUUUGAUUAAACCUUUUCAAUGUUUCCUUUUCCGUCUCUGACACUGUUGUUGAGCCAUACAAUGCUACUCUCUCUGUGCAUCAGCUUGUCGAGAUUACUGACAAGUGUAUGGUUUUAGACAAUGAGGCUCUUUAGGAUAUCUGUUUCCGUACCUUGAAGCUUGCUCACCCUACCUUUGGUGAUUUAAACCACUUCAUCUCUGCUACAAUGAGUGGUGUUACUUCCUGUCUUCGUUUCCCUGGUCAACUAAACUCUGACCUUAGGAAGCUUGCUGUGAACCUUAUCCCCUUCCCAAGGCUUCACUUCGUCAUGGUUGGUUUCGCUCCAUUGACAUCGAGAGGAUCACGAGAUUUGCUUAUCCUAUGUUUUUAUUCUAUUCUUCGGUCUGUUUGUUACCGAUUUCUAGGUUAUAUCUUUAGGAGAAAUUGAUUCAAAAUCGAUUCAAGAAGUAAGCGUUUUUUCUGAAACCUAAGUUGUCGGGUAAGCCUCUAGAUCUUAUGCCCUUGUUCUGUUUUCCUCUUUUUGUUUUUACUUCUUGUUGAAUCAAUGUUUGUUUGAUUUUUGUCAACUCCUCCUUUACUCUGAUUCUGCUUCCUUCGUGAGUUUCCCCUUUGUAAGUGCGUUUCCCUUUGUAAGUGCGAUUAGUAUUUACUCUUUAGGGUUUUUUUGCUUUGAUUUGUUACCGGUUUUGCUAGUGAGUUGCCUUUAAUUUUUAGUUAGGUUUCAGCGUUUACGUUUUAGUUUGAUUUUUGUCAAAUCUUAUUUUUUUCGCUGCAGAUACAUGGAUAAGAAACUUAGUGAGAUUGACGCUUUAAGCCUCCAUCUAUCUCUCAACGAUUUUAAAUCAGUUGUCCAUUUAUGCCAAUUUGCAAAUCCACUGCUUAUAGCAUCUGAGGCUAGAAGUGUUGUGUGAGACGACUUGUGUCCAUCGAUCUCUUCCAAUUUUGGUUCUGUCUAGCUAAAAACUUGAGAUAUUUUUUGUUUGCUUCAAAAUUAGGGAGAGAUAGAAACAUGUAAUAAAUAUAUUGAUACAGUGGUGUCGAAUAAAUGAUAUAGGUUUGAUAUUAGUUGUGUUGUUGAGUCUUGAGAUAGAUUCCAGGGAGAUUUUUUUUAAGAACAAGGAAUAAGAUCCAUGUUUUUUUUCUUCAUAUUUUAGGGAGAUGUAUCCUUACUAGCUCAAGCAACAAUGCGGUGGGACAGUUUACUUCUAAGAUGAAUGGUAUGGUUAGUUUCCUUGUGAUUUUUAUCUUAAAGUGGUGAUUGUUGGUGUGGGUACGUGAAUUUUACUCAGCUAUUGAGAUCUGAUUGUGGGUUUAGAUUUGGGUGAUGCUAUUGAAUCUCUGUUUUAAGAAGUUCUUAUCUCUCUGUUUGAUGAUUGCCUUUUGCUUAUUAAAGUUGAUAUCUUCUUGCCAUUUAAUUAGUUGGAACGCUCUACUCACGAGUUGUUGUUUUUUAUCAGGUUUAAUCGCCCUUACCGGUUCGAAGAUUUACUCUGCUUCUUUCUCUUCUUCUCCUAGGUUAUCGUUUUUUUUCCAUAUAAUUCUUCUUAGUUGAGAUUGUUUGGAAUUUGAUCAUCUUUCUCUUGGUUAGAGUAUAAUUUUGGCGAUUAUGCUUUGUGAUUGGUUGAUUCAGCUUCGAUGGUUUUUAGCGUAGGUUUUGAUAUUUUUUGUGUUGUUUGCUUUGCCGAUUGAUUCUGAUUUAUUUUGUGUGAAUUAUCUUUUGCUAUGUGACUGUAAAAUCAUCUGCUCUUGCAUUUUUUUUGAUUCAGAAUUUUACGUUGAUGAAUUAUGAUUUUGAUAGGAUUGAGUGUAAUUCAGAAACUUUGAUUAGUCAUAAAUAUGGUGUAUCUUAAUUUAUAUACCUGGUAAAAGCUUGUUUUCACCCCUAGAAAUGUUUGUAUGCAUAAAACACUUGAUUUAUGCCAUCUAAUAUGCCUCUGUUUUACUUGCUCGCGGAAUAAUAAUUGGAGGCAUCACUUUACUGAACCAAUGAGCCUUGUAGCCAUGUGCUCCAAAUAAACUACUGCAGAAUUUAAGCAAGAGGAGCACGAGGAGGCACCAAAAUUCAAAAGAAAAUCCUUAGAAAAAGGUCUGAGUAAUGAGUUACGAUAUGGGUACUAAAGAAUCAUUUUUUUUUGUUGGAGUUUCUUCGAAUUGAGAUUGAUUAAAAUCUGUCUGAUCGUUUGCACUUUGCCUGAAAACUUGUCACGGUUAUCUCAAGCCAAAGUCAGUCAUUUAUCCCUCUCUCAAUCUAACUUGGUUAAAAUUUCACUAAGUGUUUAGAUCUACCUCCGUUCUUUAAGAAUGUUUGAUUUGCAACAGGAUAUUAGUAAAAAAUUAUUUGGUAUACACAUAAUUAUACAUA